This 241-nucleotide ribosomal RNA is filed under the name uncultured bacterium. RNAcentral describes it as "partial 16S ribosomal RNA". It matches the Rfam family "Bacterial small subunit ribosomal RNA", at positions 109 to 334 of the family's 1533-position model. The record is from RNAcentral.
AGUAACGCGUGGGUAACCAGCCCUUGAAACCGGGAUAACAUCGCGAAAGCGUUGCUAAUACCGGAUAAUGUCCUGAAAACCGUGGUUUUCGGGAUGAAAGGUGACCUCUCCAUGGGAGUUGCCGUUCAGGGACGGGCCCGCGUCCCAUUAGCUUGUUGGUGGGGUAAUGGCCUACCAAGGCGACGAUGGGUAGCUGGUCUGAGAGGAUGAUCAGCCACACUGGCACUGAAACACGGGCCAG